GAUGAACGCUAGCGGCAGGCUUAAUACAUGCAAGUCGAGGGGCAGCAGGGGUGUAGCAAUACACUCGCUGGCGACCGGCAAACGGGUGCGGAACACGUACGCAACUUACCCAUAACUGGGGAAUAGCCCGGGGAAACCCGGAUUAAUACCUCGUAACAUAUUGAGAGGGCAUCUUCUUAAUAUUAUAGCUCCGGCGGUUAUGGAUGGGCGUGCGCCUGAUUAGGUAGUUGGCGGGGUAACGGCCCACCAAGCCUGCGAUCAGUAACUGGUGUGAGAGCACGGCCAGUCACACGGGC
RNAcentral lists this ribosomal RNA (296 nucleotides) under uncultured bacterium. Its description in RNAcentral is "partial 16S ribosomal RNA". It matches the Rfam family "Bacterial small subunit ribosomal RNA", at positions 28 to 317 of the family's 1533-position model. The record is from RNAcentral.